CGAAAUCGGUAGACGCUACGGACUUAAUUGGAUUGAGCCUUGGUAUGGAAACUUACUAAGUGAUAACUUUCAAAUUCAGAGAAACCCUGGAAUUAAAAAUGGGCAAUCCUGAGCCAAAUCCUGUUUUCCGAAAACAAACAAAGUAAAGACAGAAUAAAAUAAAAAAGAAAAUAAAAAAAAGGGGGGGGGGGGGGAUAGGUGCAGAGACUCAAUGGAAGCUGUUNUAAUAAAUGGAGUUGACUGCGUUGCAUUAGUAAAGUAAAGAAAUCCUUCCGUCAAAACUUCAGAAAAGAUAACCGUAUAUACAUACGCAUACGUACUGAAAUACUAUCUCAAAUGAUUAAGAUUAAUAGGGGCCCAAAUCCGUAUUUUUUUAUCUUUAUAUGAAAAAUGAAAUAAAAAAAAAAUUGUUUUGAAUUGAUUCCAAAUUGAAGAAAGGGUUGAAUAUUAAUUGAUCAAAUCAUUCAUUCCAAAGUCUGAUAGAUAACUGAUUAAUCGGACGAGAAUAAAGAUAGAGUCCCAUUCUACAUGUCAAUAUCGACAACAAGGAAAUUUAUAGUAAGAGGAAAAUCCGUCGACUUUAGAAAUCGUGAGGGUUCAAGUCCCUCUAUCCC
This 614-nucleotide non-coding RNA is filed under the name Manihot pilosa. RNAcentral describes it as "partial transfer RNA-Leu". The stretch from base 16 to 541 matches the Rfam family "Group I catalytic intron". Rfam says of the family: Group I catalytic introns are large self-splicing ribozymes. They catalyse their own excision from mRNA, tRNA and rRNA precursors in a wide range of organisms. Lineage: Eukaryota; Viridiplantae; Streptophyta; Magnoliopsida; Malpighiales; Euphorbiaceae. The record is from RNAcentral.